UGCGCAGGCGGUUAUAUAAGACAGAUGUGAAAGCCCCGGGCUCAACCUGGGAACUGCAUCCAAAACUGGCGAGCUAGAGUACGGUAGAGGGUGGUGGAAUUUCCUGUGUAGCGGUGAAAUGCGUAGAUAUAGGAAGGAACACCAGUGGCGAAGGCGACCACCUGGACUGAUACUGACACUGAGGUGCGAAAGCGUGGGGAGCAAACA
RNAcentral lists this ribosomal RNA (207 nucleotides) under uncultured bacterium. RNAcentral describes it as "partial 16S ribosomal RNA". It matches the Rfam family "Bacterial small subunit ribosomal RNA", at positions 568 to 774 of the family's 1533-position model. The record is from RNAcentral.